GGACGCAGGAGGAUAAGGUAAGCGCGGUAUUGGAUAUCCGCGUCCAAGCAGUUAGGCUGGGAAAUAGGCAAAUCCGUUUCCCAUAAGGCUGAGCUGUGAUGACGAGCGAAAUAUAGUAGCGAAGUUCCUGAUUCCACACUGCCAAGAAAAGCCUCUAGCGAGGUGAGAGGUGCCCGUACCGCAAACCGACACAGGUAGGCGAGGAGAGAAUCCUAAGGUGAUCGAGAGAACUCUCGUUAAGGAACUCGGCAAAAUGACCCCGUAACUUCGGGAGAAGGGGUGCUCUGUUAGGGUGCAAGCCCGAGAGAGCCGCAGUGAAUAGGCCCAGGCGACUGUUUAGCAAAAACACAGGUCUCUGCGAAGCCGUAAGGCGAAGUAUAGGGGCUGACGCCUGCCCGGUGCUGGAAGGUUAAGAGGAGCGCUUAGCGUAAGCGAAGGUGCGAAUUGAAGCCCCAGUAAACGGCGGCCGUAACAAUAACGGUCCUAAGGUAGCGAAAUUCCUUGUCGGGUAAGUUCCGACCCGCACGAAAGGCGCAACGAUCUGGGCACUGUCUCAACGAGAGACUCGGUGAAAUUAUAGUACCUGUGAAGAUGCAGGUUACCCGCGACAGGACGGAAAGACCCCGUGGAGCUUUACUGCAGCCUGAUAUUGAACGUUGGUACAGCUUGUACAGGAUAGGUAGGAGCCUUGGAAACCGGAGCGCCAGCUUUGGUGGAGGCAUCGGUGGGAUACUACCCUGGCUGUAUUGACCUUCUAACCCGCCGCCCUUAUCGGGCGGGGAGACAGUGUCAGGUGGGCAGUUUGACUGGGGCGGUCGCCUCCUAAAAGGUAACGGAGGCGCCCAAAGGUUCCCUCAGAAUGGUUGGAAAUCAUUCGCAGAGUGUAAAGGCACAAGGGAGCUUGACUGCGAGACCUACAAGUCGAGCAGGGACGAAAGUCGGGCUUAGUGAUCCGGUGGUUCCGCAUGGAAGGGCCAUCGCUCAACGGAUAAAAGCUACCCCGGGGAUAACAGGCUUAUCUCCCCCAAGAGUCCACAUCGACGGGGAGGUUUGGCACCUCGAUGUCGGCUCAUCGCAUCCUGGGGCUGUAGUCGGUCCCAAGGGUUGGGCUGUUCGCCCAUUAAAGCGGUACGCGAGCUGGGUUCAGAACGUCGUGAGACAGUUCGGUCCCUAUCCGUCGCGGGCGCAGGAAAUUUGAGAGGAGCUGUCCUUAGUACGAGAGGACCGGGAUGGACGCACCGCUGGUGUACCAGUUGUUCUGCCAAGGGCAUCGCUGGGUAGCUAUGUGCGGACGGGAUAAGUGCUGAAAGCAUCUAAGCAUGAAGCCCCCCUCAAGAUGAGAUUUCCCAUUCCGCAAGGAAGUAAGAUCCCUGAAAGAUGAUCAGGUUGAUAGGUCUGAGGUGGAAGUGUGGCGACACAUGGAGCUGACAGAUACUAAUCGAUCGAGGACUUAACC
RNAcentral lists this ribosomal RNA (1456 nucleotides) under metagenome. RNAcentral's name for it is "bacterial LSU rRNA". It matches the Rfam family "Bacterial large subunit ribosomal RNA", at positions 1470 to 2925 of the family's 2925-position model. The record is from RNAcentral.